Long non-coding RNA from Boleophthalmus pectinirostris (great blue-spotted mudskipper), 200 nucleotides. RefSeq lists it as uncharacterized. The record is from RefSeq and is a predicted model, not a curated record. The transcript is spliced from 3 exons. Lineage: Eukaryota; Metazoa; Chordata; Actinopteri; Gobiiformes; Gobiidae.
UUUUGGAGGCGACUGCAGUGUUUUCUGAUCCAAGUGAAACGUUUCAAAAUGUUUUUCUCAAAAACAAUUUGAACUUUUGUAAAAACUACAAAAUGUAGCAACAACACAAGUCUUCCACCUCCCUGUGUGUGUCAGGUCCCUCCUGUGUGUCAGGUGUCCUCCUGUGUGUCAGGUCCCUCCUGUGUGUCAGGUGCCCUCCC